This 253-nucleotide ribosomal RNA is filed under the name uncultured bacterium. RNAcentral's name for it is "partial 16S ribosomal RNA". It matches the Rfam family "Bacterial small subunit ribosomal RNA", at positions 524 to 776 of the family's 1533-position model. The record is from RNAcentral.
UACGAAGGGGGCUAGCGUUGUUCGGAAUUACUGGGCGUAAAGGGUUCGUAGGUGGCUUACUAAGUCAGACGUGAAAUCCCUCAGCUUAACUGGGGAACUGCGUCUGAUACUGGAAAGCUUGAGUGCAGGAGAGGAACGCGGAAUUCCAGGUGUAGCGGUGAAAUGCGUAGAUAUCUGGAGGAACACCGGUGGCGAAGGCGGCGUUCUGGACUGCAACUGACACUGAGGAACGAAAGCCAGGGGAGCAAACGGG